AGUGAACGCUGGCGGUAGGCCUAACACAUGCAACUCGAACGGCAGCACAGUAAGAGCUUGCUCUUACGGGUGGCGAGUGGCGGACGGGUGAGGAAUACAUCGGAAUCUACUUUUUCGUGGGGGAUAACGUAGGGAAACUUACGCUAAUACCGCAUACGACCUACGGGUGAAAGCAGGGGAUCUUCGGACCUUGCGCGAUUGAAUGAGCCGAUGUCGGAUUAGCUAGUUGGCGGGGUAAAGGCCCACCAAGGCGACGAUCCGUAGCUGGUAUGAGAGGAUGUGACGCCACACUAGAACUGUGACACGUUCCAGACUCCUAGGGGAGGGAGCAGUGGGGAAUAUUGGACAAUGGGCGCAAGCCUGAUCCAGCCAUACCGCGUGGGUGAAGAAGGCCUUCGGGUUGUAAAGCCCGUUUGUUGGGAAAGAAAAGCAGCAGGUUAAUACCCCGCUGUUCUGACGGUACCCAAAGAAUAAGCACCGGCUAACUUCGUG
RNAcentral lists this ribosomal RNA (492 nucleotides) under uncultured bacterium. RNAcentral describes it as "partial 16S ribosomal RNA". It matches the Rfam family "Bacterial small subunit ribosomal RNA", at positions 29 to 507 of the family's 1533-position model. The record is from RNAcentral.